UCCCAGGCCCAUUUUUCUUCGUCCCAGCCCCACAUUCGUUUCUUCCUCGCUAAGAACUCAGAAACAUCGGUGUCAAUUCUUCCCUCACUCGCCGGAUUAACGCGAUUUUCACACCCUGUCGUUUUCCUCUAACGUCUCCAAAGUGGAAAUUCAACUGUACCAAGCGCGUGAGUGCCGAGUGGGAAACCUAGUACCCUGCACUCUUUUGUCACCUUCCUCUUCGACCUCGCUCAUACGUUCCGUGCAGCUGGAUCUCGUCCUUCGCUCAAGUGGAUGAGUGUCACGUCAAGUUCAAGGAGGACGGAUCGAUCCCAGCCGUCCAUCUCUCUCCAAAUCCGUUGGGCAAGAAGAAUCGUUUCAGAAUAUUCUCUAAAUUGGAGGGGAUAACGUUUUGUGGCUGAGACAAUUCUACCCUUUCACCCCAUUUUUGAAAACAAAAAUACCCUUCCUAUAUAAGGUCUGUUGGGAAAUUAGAGCAGGGGAGGUUUUUCGAAAAAAGAAUUUUCUAUUUUCUUAAAGAUAUUUGAAAAGAGCAAUAGGUGUAGGCAUAUAAAAAAUUUAGGAUAAUAGAAAUUUUGGAAGAUUUUUGCUUUAAUUGUAUUUUUAUUUCCAGUUUAGGGUGAGUACGUGAUACUAGUGCAGAUGUUGUGAUUUUUCUGUUAUUUAAUGGCUCAAUGGUUGUGUCUUGUGUUUGUUAUCAUGUUAAUUUGAGCUUUGGAGUAGCCCAGAUACCAAGUUUUCUUCUCUCUUUUCUGUUUUGCUUUUGUUUCCUUUUUUUUUUCUUAAAAGUUUUCUUGCGAAUCCGUAGUGUACUGUCCCUUUGGAAUCGUUUGCUUUCCUUGCUUUAGAAUCUUCUCUUCAAUGUUGGUUCUAACUUCUAUGGGCAUUCUGAGCAUUAAGCACGAUCUGAGUAUUAAUGGAAGUCGCUUUAGUAUUAUAUAUUGGUCGUUAUGUGCAUUGGUUCGAGUUCGUAUCUAUGGAGUUAAUUAGUUUGCUGCUUGGUGUUGUUGGUUGUUUGACAUUCAGUUCUCUUGCUUGGUUCUCAUCAAUAAACCUCUUGCUUUUUUAAUCUUGUUAUUUAAGCUUAUAAAAAUGAUCAGGAAGUUCUGUAAUUUGCUUCAACAAGUCCUCAAAGCACUGUCAUUACUGCUUUUCUUUUUCUUAAGUUAGGACUAUGUGACUGUUUUAUCUUGAUAUCUUCUCUUCUCUUGACUUCUCCAGCUUAAAGGAAAUCAUGACCUUCCUUGUUUGGAGCAUAUUUUAUUUGCUAAUAAUUUAUGUGUUGUUGCUACCUUUUGCACAAUGUAGUCACUGCCUUAGACCUUGGUUCCUUUGUGUCUAUUGCUAUUUUUGAAUUCUCUGUAGUGCAUGGAGUGUGCAAUGAAGUCUUUCAAUAUCAUCAAUGGUGCCUAGUUCACAUGCUAUUCCUCCUUGUUUCUGUACAUUAGGGUAGAUUUAGUUUAUUACUUGAAAAUGUUAUGUUGUGUUAUCUUGAUUGGCUUGGAAGGAUAAGACUCUUACAUAACUUUUUCUUUUCUCUUUCUUUCUUUGUAUGAACCCGCCCCGAGUCCAUAAUGGAUUUCUUCCAUUGCAUUCUCUUGUUGAGCCGUAAAUGCUCAAACCUCGGGAAGGAGCGGUAAAGAAGUAAGGAGGUUGACUAGUUCUUAGCUUGAUUGAACUCAGCAUAGUUAGAGAUUAGAGGAGAUAGCCUUUCUUUCUAUUGCUUGAGUGGAAUCAGUACUCUCGAGUCGUCCAGCCUUUCAAAAAUUGGUAAAUUGAUGUACAAGUCAAAGAGCAGGUUGAAAUGCACUGCUGGAAAUUAAUUGCAGGUUCAUCAAAACCUGGAAAGGGGGCUGUAAAUCAUGUUUGCAGGUGUUGAAAAAGUUGUGUACCGUCUUUAUACAUAUUGUAUAUACACUUAUAUACAGAUCAAAGACGUACAGGAGAACAAAAUUUGAAAUAUGGGUUGAUAGCAGUGAAAUAUGUUGUUGUAAAGGAGCUUUCAACUUUUGAAAGUUGAAAAACAGGCCGAUAUACAACCUGUAUACACUGAUAUACAUACGCGAUAUACCAUAAAGAGGUGUAAGAAAUACGAAUUACAGGUUUAACGUACAUGGAAGCCAAAUUCAAGUAAAAUACAAGAAUAGUGAAUGAAUACGUGCAUAGGAUAUAUCCCGUAUACAUUGGUAUACAUCCUUUGGGCAGUGAUAUACAGUAAUAAAAAUGGUACAGGUACAAAUACGCCGAAAUAAUAUGGGAAAUACAGGUGGAAUCGUGAGAAAUCGUAUUUGAACAAAUAUACAGGAUUAAAAAGUAUAAUAUGGAUCGUAUAUAUACCAUAUACAACAGUAUACAUCCUGUGUACACUCCCUAUUUCUUUUUUCAGGGGAAAUGGGCCAAGGCCCUUCAGCUAAAUUUUAAUAGGCCCAAAGGCCAAAAUUUUCUUCAGGGUUUGAAUUAUUGGAUAAGGGCACAAGUCCACAUUUUGAAUAAUUUAGUCUAGGGCAGGUGGGCUAAAAGUCCAAAUUGAAUGAAUUUGGACAAUUAGCCCAAGUUCAAAUAUUCUUUCCUCUCUCCCUUUUAUUUAUCAUAUGAUUGGAUUGACUAAUAUUUUGGUGGAAUUUUAUUAAUUUCCUAAAAGAUAGUCAUUUCUUACUAUAUUUAUUUAAUCAUAAAAUUUUACUACUAUUUUAUUUAUUUAUUUUGUUUUAUCGACUUUUGUCACCAUUUAGUUUAUUCCUUAGGUUAAUUUCCUCUAAAUGUGUCCUUUAGAAAAUAAUGAUAAAUAAAAUUGUUAAAAUAUAUAUAUAAAAAAAAACGAAUUUCUCUUAGUUAAAAUUUUAUAAUUUAUUUUAAAGGUUAUUUAAUCAUCGUCGGUCAACACCUUUUCGGGAUGUACAUUUGAACUUCUAACCUUUUUCAAUCGAUUUUUAUCUGUUUUUGAAUCUUUUGAAAAUAAAUUUUAAUUUUUUCUUGAUUUUAUCAAAAAUAAAAUGGCGACUCCGUAAUUUGGAAAGUCAAUUUUUCUUAAAUAAGAAGAUUAAUUGAUUUUCCAAAACUUAGUCAUUUUUCACUAUUUUUAACCAAAUAAUAAUAUUUUUCAGAUAAAACACUAAGUCUACUCAUAUACUUUAUUUGGUAACACAAUUACGCUCCCGAGCCAUAAGAUACCAGAGAUGCGGCAACGAUUCUAGGAAGGAUCCUAUAAUAGCACAUGUCUUAGGAUGAGAAGGAUUAAUAGUGAGGCCGGAAAGCGUUUCUACUGGAACAUAUGAAUCCAUAUGGAAAGGGAGAUAAGAGGUCAAGGAAGGAUCAAUCACCUUGGUUCAUGAUAUGGAUAAGGCCCCAACACUUUUGAAGACAUGGUAUGAAAGCAUGAUAAAUCAUGGGAAAGGAAUGAUGUUCAAACACUUAGGAUUUCUACGAAGACUUUUGUAUGUUGAGUCACGACGAGACUUGAUAGAAACACUAGUACAUUUUUGGGACCCAUUAAAAGUGUAUUUAAUUUUUCUGGCUUUGAACUCACCCCCACACUAGAAGAGAUAGGGGAAUUCAUAGGAUUGGGUAAAAAUCUUCACAUAGAAGAGCCGAUACCAAAACAUAUUAAUGGGAGGAUAUUUUAAGAGUUACUUUACAUAAAUGAGAAUGAUAUGGCAGAAAGGAUGGAUUCAUGGUAUAUGGAAAGAAACUUCUUAAUAAUGGGUGUCAUUUGAACUGGAAAGCACACAGUUAUGAUGCCUU
Solanum lycopersicum (tomato) is the source of this 3741-nucleotide long non-coding RNA. RefSeq lists it as uncharacterized. NCBI's taxonomy places the organism in Eukaryota, Viridiplantae, Streptophyta, Magnoliopsida, Solanales, Solanaceae. The record is from RefSeq and is a predicted model, not a curated record.